RNAcentral lists this long non-coding RNA (704 nucleotides) under Homo sapiens (human). RNAcentral describes it as "HSALNT0019328". The record is from RNAcentral. Lineage: Eukaryota; Metazoa; Chordata; Mammalia; Primates; Hominidae.
AUGGAGUUUUGCUCUUGUUGCCCAGGCUGGAGUGCAAUGGCAGCUAUCUCAGCUCACUGUAACCUCUGCCUCGCGGGUUCAAGCGAUUCUCCUGCCUCAGCCUCCUGAGUAGCUGGGAUUACAGGCAUGCCCCACCAUGCCUGGCUAAUUUUGUAUUUUUAGUAGAGACAGGGUUUCUCCAUGCUGGUCAGGCUGGCCUCGAACGCCCGGCCUCAGGUGAUCUGCCUGCCUCGGCCUCCCAAAGUGCUGGGAUUAUAGUGUGAGCCACCAUGCCCGGCCUGUAGCAAACAUUUAAAACUGAUCUCUGUGUAUUUAGUCUUGCUCUACUUCAGGACAUUCUCAAUACUGCAGCAAAAGUUAUUCUAAAAUGCAAAUCUCAUUUUGGCAGGGAUGCUGCUAAAUAUCCUACAGUGCACAGAACGGCCACCAACGACCAAGAAUUAUCCAGUCCAAAAUGUCAGUAAAGCUGAGGUUAAGAAAUCCUGUUCCAGAAUAUCACAUUUUUUGAAAUGCUACCAGCUGAGGAAGAAGCCAAAAUGUGGAGAAGGACAGAAUCAAGAGAAUUGCAAAGAAGCUGAGUUGGAAUCCUGACAAACCACGCUGGAGUGGCCCUACCUCCGUUGUUUCAGGCAUUUUGAGUCAGGGCUUUCUGGUACUUACAGUCAAAGGCAUCUAAAUGACAGUCUCCAAAAUUCACCAUAGCA